RNAcentral lists this ribosomal RNA (253 nucleotides) under uncultured bacterium. RNAcentral's name for it is "partial 16S ribosomal RNA". It matches the Rfam family "Bacterial small subunit ribosomal RNA", at positions 524 to 776 of the family's 1533-position model. The record is from RNAcentral.
UACAGAGGUCUCAAGCGUUGUUCGGAUUCAUUGGGCGUAAAGGGUGCGUAGGCGGCGCGGUAAGUCGGGUGUGAAAUCUCGGGGCUUAACUCCGAAACUGCAUUCGAUACUGCCGUGCUUGAGGACUGGAGAGGAGACUGGAAUUUACGGUGUAGCAGUGAAAUGCGUAGAUAUCGUAAGGAAGACCAGUGGCGAAGGCGGGUCUCUGGGCCUUACCUGACGCUGAGGAGCGAAAGCGUGGGGAGCGAACAGG